UCAGAUUAUAGUUUAAUUAAAAUAUAAAGUUUGGGGCUUUAAGAUUGAAAUCUGA
Molecule: transfer RNA, 55 nt
Filed under: Trichinella pseudospiralis
Lineage: Eukaryota; Metazoa; Nematoda; Enoplea; Trichinellida; Trichinellidae
Description: tRNA-Pro
Source: RNAcentral